GGGCCGUUGGCGCAGUUGGCUAGCGCGCGUCGUUGACAUCGACGAGGUCACAGGUUCAAGUCCUGUACGGCCCA
RNAcentral lists this transfer RNA (74 nucleotides) under Phycisphaeraceae bacterium. RNAcentral describes it as "tRNA-Val". It matches the Rfam family "tRNA". From Rfam's summary of the family: Transfer RNA (tRNA) molecules are approximately 80 nucleotides in length. Their secondary structure includes four short double-helical elements and three loops (D, anti-codon, and T loops). Lineage: Bacteria; Pseudomonadati; Planctomycetota; Phycisphaerae; Phycisphaerales; Phycisphaeraceae. RNAcentral also lists the same sequence under 1 other name. The record is from RNAcentral.